Molecule: long non-coding RNA, 456 nt
Filed under: Vigna radiata
Lineage: Eukaryota; Viridiplantae; Streptophyta; Magnoliopsida; Fabales; Fabaceae
Description: long non-coding RNA (VRAD_LNC013528)
Source: RNAcentral
AAUUAUUCACAUGUCACAUAAAACAAAAUUGCCCUUCAUCUAAAACAAUCGACAUUCUCACAUGCAAAUGUCAUCACAAGGACUUUUCCAAGGCUUGUAAUGAGGUUGGGCUAACAAGAAAAAUUGGUUUUUCUAGAUCACAAAAUCCUUGAGUCAAGAGAGCUAUUUUAAAAUUCCAAGUUCAAGUACAAACUCUCUUUUUCACCAAUCUCACUCAUUCCCAACUUCUUCCCUUUUCUUUUUAUUGAGCUCAUCUUUCAUGCUUUUUCUUUUCUUCUUUUUCUUUUCUCAUGCAUUUUUCUUUUUCAACACUUGAGCUCAAUACUGUUCUUUUGCCUUUUUCCCCAAACCACCCCAAACUUGAACCAACACAUACAAUUAUUCUCAACCCAACUCAAGGUAAAUAAUUUCAAAAUAAGGGUUUUCAUCUCUUUUUAAGGCCAAGGUUCAAAAAAG